This 323-nucleotide unclassified non-coding RNA is filed under the name Herpotrichiellaceae sp. RNAcentral's name for it is "partial contains 5.8S ribosomal RNA, internal transcribed spacer 2, and large subunit ribosomal RNA". The stretch from base 1 to 71 matches the Rfam family "5.8S ribosomal RNA", at positions 84 to 154 of the family's 154-position model. Lineage: Eukaryota; Fungi; Ascomycota; Eurotiomycetes; Chaetothyriales; Herpotrichiellaceae. The record is from RNAcentral.
GUGAGUCAUCGAAUCUUUGAACGCACAUUGCGCCCAUUGGUAUUCCGAUGGGCAUGCCUGUUCGAGCGUCAUUAUCAACCCUCAAGCCCCCGGCUUGGUGUUGGAGUCCUGGCUGGGCAGCUGCCCGGCCACUCCUAAAGACAAUGACGGCGGCGACGAUGGCCCCCGGUACACUGAGCUUUUCACCGAGCACGUACUGGAAGGACCUCGUGGUCACGGUCUGCCUCCCCUUCAAGGGAGAAAACCCCCGGUUUUAUUACCAAGGUUGACCUCGGAUCAGGUAGGGAUACCCGCUGAACUUAAGCAUAUCAAUAAGCGGAGGA